Molecule: ribosomal RNA, 254 nt
Filed under: uncultured bacterium
Lineage: Bacteria
Description: partial 16S ribosomal RNA
Rfam family: Bacterial small subunit ribosomal RNA
Source: RNAcentral
CACGUAGGGGGCGAGCGUUGUCCGGAUUUAUUGGGCGUAAAGAGCUCGUAGGCGGCUCGGUAAGUCAGGUGUGAAAACUCUAGGCUCAACCUAGAGACGCCACCUGAUACUGCCGUGGCUAGAGUCCGGUAGGGGAGCAUGGAAUUCCUGGUGUAGCGGUGAAAUGCGCAGAUAUCAGGAGGAACACCGAUGGCGAAGGCAGGUCUCUGGGCCGAUACUGACGCUGAGGAGCGAAAGCGUGGGGAGCGAACAGG